GUAAAUCUCAUAUUAUUUAGUAAGAAACACUGAUCAGUAUUUAGUAAGCAUUUACUAUAGUAUCUAUAUUUUGAUUUGAAUUGUCGGAACAGUUGUUGAAGCCUAUUAAUACAAAAUACAACAUAUAUAUUAUUAACGUGCUAUUAACUUCCAGUGUUGUUAUUUGUUUAACAAUAAUUACAUUUAAGUUUGUGCGUUUUUUAUCAUUUUAAUCGUCUAACUGUUUUACAAAUUUAGUGUUUUGAUUUCUCCAUAAACAAGGAAGAAAGUUAUAAACUUGUUUUUUGGCUGCUAACUAAAAAAGUCCAGUUCAUAGUUCCUGUUAGAAAGUUGACAGUUCGUAUUAUACAGUGUUUAGAAUAAAGUGUGUACCGGUAUCAACACAAGUGCAAUAUUAAAGUAUCGGUGGGACAGAAUACUUUUGGCGACAAGGAAAUAUCAACAGUACAUAUCUGACAGUCAACAUGGGUCGUGAUAUACAUCGACCAUCGUACACUACCACCAAUCAGCGACUAGAACUAGAAAGGGAGUACGUCCAUAACCCUUCGGCCCAUCUCUAUUUUCGCCAGAGAUACAGACUGACAGCGUAUAUGGACUUGACCCCACGAAAAAUAAAAAUCUGGUUUUUGAGAAGACAUGCAGCAGACAGUAAAAAGAAAAACGAAAUCCGCUGCGAGCAAGUGCAGUACACAAUGGUAUACAUGAAAUAUUACUCGACUCUUGACUUUAGUGAUCCAACGAAUUGUAUCAAAGAAGAAUAUCAUUCAAUUGUUUGUGAUCGAAAACCUACCAUUUUUGUGAGUUGACACUUUUAAGGACUACAAAAAACGUUUUUUUCCAAAAAAAGUUAAAGAUUUUUUUAUAUUUUUAUGUGCAUUUUUAAAACACCCUGUAUAUGUACAGUGUUCGCAAAAGAAUUUGAAAUAAAUGUGAUUUUUUUACUAUGAUAGGUAAAAUUAGGGAAAAUUCUGAAAAAAAGUUGUUUAUUGUCAUUUUUCAAAGUAAAAAUAAUAAAAAAACGUAUUUUUAUAUUGAUAAUAAUUUUUUUAUAAUUCUAUUGAUUAUGAAAUUUUUGAUACACACAUUAUAAGAGAAAAUAUAUUAUUUCUUUGCUUAAUUGGCUUUGCUUUUAAUUUGUUUAAGUUUAUUCACGCAUGCCAGUCACGUCUAUUUAUAGGGUGUUAUUCAAAAAUCGGUCACCCCUAUAAAUUUGAUUGACGUAUAUUCCAUUUUUUGGCCACUUUUUGUUUCACCGGAAAUGAGUACGUUUGAUUUUAAAAUGGUACCCUCGGUACUUUUUACUUUAUUUGAUAGAAAAUGGCAUUCCGAAUAGAAUGACAUAUCAUACUAUGUCAACUUUUGACAUUUUUGCUUAAAAAAAUUGUAUUGAGUGCCAUGGCUGUGUUAGUUUGGUACUACAUACUUGCUAUUUCGAGUCAAAUAAACUUUUGUUAUGAACGCAGUCAUGACAGUCUAGAUUGAAAUUUAGAAUACUAUUUUGUUUAAGCAAAAAUGUCAAAAGUUGAUUUGAAAUAUCAUUC
Long non-coding RNA from Sitophilus oryzae (rice weevil), 1541 nucleotides. RefSeq lists it as uncharacterized. Lineage: Eukaryota; Metazoa; Arthropoda; Insecta; Coleoptera; Curculionidae. The record is from RefSeq and is a predicted model, not a curated record. The transcript has 3 exons.